RNAcentral lists this ribosomal RNA (253 nucleotides) under uncultured bacterium. Its description in RNAcentral is "partial 16S ribosomal RNA". It matches the Rfam family "Bacterial small subunit ribosomal RNA", at positions 524 to 776 of the family's 1533-position model. The record is from RNAcentral.
UACGGAGGAUGCAAGCGUUAUCCGGAAUGAUUGGGCGUAAAGCGUGCGCAGGUGGCUAUGUAAGUCUGCUGUUAAAGAGUGAGGCUCAACCUCAUAAGAGCAGUGGAAACUACAUGGCUAGAGUGCGUUCGGGGCAGAGGGAAUUCCUGGUGUAGCGGUGAAAUGCGUAGAGAUCAGGAAGAACAUCGGUGGCGAAGGCGCUCUGCUGGACCAUAACUGACACUCAGGGACGAAAGCUAGGGGAGCGAAUGGG